UACGUAGGGGGCAAGCGUUGUCCGGAAUCAUUGGGCGUAAAGAGCGUGUAGGCGGCCCGGUCAGUCGGUUGUGAAAGUCAGGGGCUCAACCCUUGAAUGCCGACCGAUACUGCCGGGCUAGAGUCCGGAAGAGGCGAGUGGAAUUCCUGGUGUAGCGGUGAAAUGCGCAGAUAUCAGGAGGAACACCAAUGGCGAAGGCAGCUCGCUGGGACGGUACUGACGCUGAGACGCGAAAGCGUGGGGAGCAAACAGG
RNAcentral lists this ribosomal RNA (253 nucleotides) under uncultured bacterium. Its description in RNAcentral is "partial 16S ribosomal RNA". It matches the Rfam family "Bacterial small subunit ribosomal RNA", at positions 524 to 776 of the family's 1533-position model. The record is from RNAcentral.